Molecule: long non-coding RNA, 822 nt
Organism: Rhincodon typus (whale shark)
Lineage: Eukaryota; Metazoa; Chordata; Chondrichthyes; Orectolobiformes; Rhincodontidae
Exons: 3
Source: RefSeq, a predicted model, not a curated record
GGUUAGGGUGGAUUGGCCGUGCUAAAUUGUCCCGUAGUGCCCAGGGAUGUGCAGGUUAGGGUGGAUUGGCCGUGCUAAAUUGUCCCAUAGUGCCCAGGGAUGUGCAGGUUAUGGUGGAUUAUAGGGGGAAUAGGUCUGGGUGGGAUGUUCAGAGGGUCAGCGUGGAUGUGUUGGACUGAAUGGCCUGUUUCCACACGUUGGGGAUGCUAUGAUUUUGUUAGCCACCACCCACCACCCACCCACCCACUUUAAUGGUGGCCCCGAAGCACGGUUCUGAUUUGAAGAAGCAGCGUCUUUGCAUGUCUCUACCUCACACUCUCAUGUCCGCCUCUCUCCAGGCUGAAUAAUAACAAGCUGACGGCCCUGUGCGCACUGCAGUUGACUCAAGUACUCAACACAAACCACUCGCUCACACAGCUCAGUCUGAGUUACAACCGGCUCAGCAACCUGGGAUUGAGGAGGCUAUGUACGGCACUGAGGGCACCGGCCUGUCAGAUACAGAAACUGGAGCUCGAUGACAAUGGACUCCGAGAUGCGUGCGCUGAGGAACUAGCCUCAGCCCUCAGCAGGAACCAAAGGUUGAAAGGACUAUAUUUGAACAGGAACAGCUUCAGUGACCAGUCCAUCCCUGCUUUCAGCCAUCUGGUAGACCGCUGCAAAAGCCUGAGAUACAUCUGGUUAUGGAGAAAUCUGUUCAGCGCAAAUGGCCGGACCAAGCUACAAUCGCUCCAUCAAGACGUGCGCGGAGUAACCAUUUUUGUAUGAAUGCGGGAAACCGUUUCAACUGUUCAAGAAAUAAUUGACUUGGGUGCAGUCUCAUCA